Molecule: ribosomal RNA, 564 nt
Filed under: uncultured bacterium
Lineage: Bacteria
Description: bacterial SSU rRNA
Rfam family: Bacterial small subunit ribosomal RNA
Source: RNAcentral
CCUACGGGAGGCAGCAGUGGGGAAUCUUGCGCAAUGGGCGAAAGCCUGACGCAGCAACGCCGCGUGCGGGAAGAAGGCUUUCGGGCUGUAAACCGCUUUCAGCAGGAACGAAAAUGACGGUACCUGCAGAAGAAGGAGCGGCCAACUAUGUGCCAGCAGCCGCGGUGAUACAUAGGCUUCAAGCGUUGUCCGGAUUUAUUGGGCGUAAAGAGUUCGUAGGCGGUCGAGUAAGUCGGGUGUGAAAAUUCUGGGCUCAACCCAGAGACGCCACCCGAUACUGCUUGACUUGAGUUCGAUAGGGGAGUGGGGAAUUCCUAGUGUAGCGGUGAAAUGCGCAGAUAUUAGGAGGAACACCGGUGGCGAAGGCGCCACUCUGGAUCGAUACUGACGCUGAGGAACGAAAGCAUGGGUAGCAAACAGGAUUAGAUACCCUGGUAGUCCAUGCCGUAAACGGUGGGCACUAGGUGUGGGUUUCUAUUAACGAAAUCCGCGCCGUCGCUAACGCAUUAAGUGCCCCGCCUGGGGAGUACGGUCGCGAAGACUAAACUUAAAGGAAUUGAACGG